RNAcentral lists this ribosomal RNA (396 nucleotides) under uncultured bacterium. Its description in RNAcentral is "partial 16S ribosomal RNA". It matches the Rfam family "Bacterial small subunit ribosomal RNA", at positions 523 to 918 of the family's 1533-position model. The record is from RNAcentral.
AUACGGAAGGUCCGGGCGUUAUCCGGAUUUAUUGGGUUUAAAGGGAGCGCAGGCGGAGAUGCAAGCGUGACGUCAAAUUUCGGGGCUCAACCCCGUCUCGCGUCGCGAACUGCGUCCCUUGGUUGCGGGAAGGGGAGGCGGAACUCGUGGUGUAGCGGUGAAAUGCAUAGAUAUCACGAAGAACGCCGAUCGCGAAGGCCGCCUUCCGGCCCGUCAACGACGCUCAUACUCGAAGGUGCGGGUAUCAAACAGGAUUAGAUACCCUGGUAGUCCACGCCAUAAACGAUGAAUACUAGGUGUAGGGGGUAUCGACCCCCUCUGUGCCGACGUUAACACAUUAAGUAUUCCACCUGGGGAGUACGGCCGCAAGGCUGAAACUCAAAUGAAUUGACGGGG